GACGAAGGAUGCAAGCGUUAUCCGGAAUCAUUGGGUUUAAAGGGUCCGUAGGCGGUUUGGUAAGUCAGUGGUGAAAGCCCAUCGCUCAACGGUGGAACGGCCAUUGAUACUGCCAGACUUGAAUUAUUAGGAAGUAACUAGAAUAUGUAGUGUAGCGGUGAAAUGCUUAGAGAUUACAUGGAAUACCAAUUGCGAAGGCAGGUUACUACUAAUGGAUUGACGCUGAUGGACGAAAGCGUGGGUAGCGAACAGG
RNAcentral lists this ribosomal RNA (253 nucleotides) under uncultured bacterium. Its description in RNAcentral is "partial 16S ribosomal RNA". It matches the Rfam family "Bacterial small subunit ribosomal RNA", at positions 524 to 776 of the family's 1533-position model. The record is from RNAcentral.